This is a long non-coding RNA of Ahaetulla prasina, 1126 nucleotides long. RefSeq lists it as uncharacterized. NCBI's taxonomy places the organism in Eukaryota, Metazoa, Chordata, Lepidosauria, Squamata, Colubridae. The transcript has 3 exons. The record is from RefSeq and is a predicted model, not a curated record.
UGAGGGAAUGCCUUAUUGUCCAGAAUAACUUUAUGGUUCACAAGUAAAUCAAAUUUACUUGUCAAACAGAAUUUACUUCAACCUGAAACCAUUUCUGGAGAGGAACUCUCUAUAUGAACUUGUAUUACAUCUAAUUAUAUUGCAUUAGGUUUCUAUUAACAUAACAUUUUUAAUUUGCUGGAUAGAAACUAACGUAAUUAUUAAUCUCAUUUUAUGAUUUAUAUUGUUCUGACUAUUGAUAAUGAUAUUGAUAUAUUACGUUUAACAGUAAUCUGUAGUUUUUAAAGCAAUAUAAUGUCAGUUAUUCAAACCAACCAAGCAAAAAGGAUUACAGAGAUUUGCUCUAUUCUAUUUAAGAGCUCCAGACACAAGAAGGAUACAUUUUUCAUCUUUGUGCUAUGCAGAAAAUCAUUCUGGAAUACGGUACUUGGAAAGCUAGAUGCACAGCUGAAAAACCAAGGCUGUGGAUAUCUCAUUCAGAAAUGUGAACAGUAUAAUAAACUGCAAAGUAUCAGCAGAACAGCAUACUAAAACAGCCCAGAAUUGAAAGACAAGCCUAGAAAUAAAGAUCUACUGAAAGCGCAUCACAGAAUAAGAACCUACUGAAAUUACACUUCGUUUUCACAUAUAUAAUUUUAGUCUAUGUAGAGAAACAAAUCUGCUUUGAACUGUUUCAUAUUAUUCCCAAUGGAUAACAUUACAAGAUUCAAAAUGAAACUCAGAUGUUAUUCUGUGUUCUUUGUUUAAAAAAGACUGUAUUAGAUAUGCUUCAAGACAAGCUUUUUUUUAAAUUUUUAUGUUCUGUGUUGGACAUCGUUUGUGAUAGUAGUAAAAAGCAUUUAUUUCAGAAAUAAGCUUUUGGAGUUCUGAGAUUGUUCUUUCAAUGCCAACAAAAUGGCCACUAUGAGGAAACACUGUUGACUGAGACUGGCCUAUCAUAAAAAGAUAAAUUUAUCAGAAGGCAAACUGAUAAAGAUGCAGCUCCCUGACCCUCUCUAGAGCAGCAAUGACAACAGGAGAAGAACAAAGGGAGCCAGAGUGAUGCAAGCAGCAUCAUGAUAUUGUAACACAAGCCACUGGUCCUCUUCUUCAUUAUAAUGCCAUGCCCAUGGCCCUAAAGGAAGGA